This 218-nucleotide ribosomal RNA is filed under the name Diversispora sp. Its description in RNAcentral is "partial small subunit ribosomal RNA". The stretch from base 48 to 218 matches the Rfam family "Eukaryotic small subunit ribosomal RNA", at positions 693 to 864 of the family's 1831-position model. Lineage: Eukaryota; Fungi; Glomeromycota; Glomeromycetes; Diversisporales; Diversisporaceae. The record is from RNAcentral.
GGGUUCACCCAUUGGUCAGGCUUAAUUGUCUGCACUGGUGAAAUGAGUCUCUACCUUCUGAGGAACUUUCAUGUCAUUAAUUUGGUGUGAUCGGAAAUCAGGACUGUUACUUUGAAAAAAUUAGAGCGUUUAAAGCAGGCUAACGUCUGAAUACAUUAGCAUGGAAUAAUGAAAUAGGACGGACUGAUUCUAUUUCGUUGGUUUCUAGGAUCACCGUA